UAUUUAAAUCGUUGUGAAUGA
This 21-nucleotide non-coding RNA is filed under the name Caenorhabditis elegans. The record is from RNAcentral. Lineage: Eukaryota; Metazoa; Nematoda; Chromadorea; Rhabditida; Rhabditidae.